UUCCGGUGAGUGAGUUGUCAACAAACCUGCAAAUGAGACAUUUGGAGGAUGAAACCAUCAUGGCUCCUUUUCACAAUAAAGAAUCUCUGACAAGAAAGGCACAUGCCAGCAGUCCUCCAAAUGUGUAUGGUUUGAUUUUGAUUGGGGUCAUCACAUUCCUCUGUGAAUGGAACACAGCAGAUACAGUGGACGUGAAGCCACAGAAGGAAGUCUACAUUCCUGACUACACAAUAUAUCAUAACUUGACAUCCAUACAAAAAGAUGUUCAACAGCUGCUCUUUCUGUACCCCAAUUUCAUGAAGAUUGAUUGGAAGUACAACUCGAGGCUGGGCAAACCACAGAUGCUUCUCCACAUCACAAACUUCACACAGAAUACAGAUGCCAACCAGAAGGAUGGAAGCAAGGUGAAAAUGUUGUUGUCAUAUGGGGAACACGCUCGAGAAUUCUUCCCAGUUGAAAGCAUGUUCCAUCUUUUGCGGAACCUCACUGAUGGACUUGGGUCAGCACCUGGUAGUUAUGAGGAACUAUAUUCCAGACAUGUACUGUCCAGUACUGACUUGCACAUCAUAGUAAUGGCUAACCCAGAUGGACGUGUGUACGUCGAACACUCCCAUAAUUACUGUUGGCGAGGAACAAGUACAGGUGUUGAUCUCAAUAGGAACUUUGACUGGGAGUAUGCAAAGAAGGGCAGUUCAGCUGAUCCUAAUGAUGAGGAAUAUAGAGGCCCCCAUGCUUUCUCAGAACCUGAAUGCAAUGUUUACAAACACCUCACUCAGGAAAUGCACUUUGAUCUCUACAUUUCGUUUCACUCAGGGAUUAGACAGAUAUAUUUACCUUUUGCUGAUACUCAUUCCAACAUCAUCAACAGACAACCAGCUAACAUACGGGGUAUCAAGGAGUUAGCAGCACGUCUCGCCUCCUCAACCACACACAGAUACGAGUACGGGAAGGCGAUGGAUCUCACCUUCUAUACAGCUGACGGGACGUCCUUCGACUACAUGGCAGGACACAGAAAGAUACCCUUUUCUUUAGCUAUAGAGCUAUGGGGCAGUGACGCACAUGUUGGAGCCAGCUGCUUUGACCAGUUCAACCCUCGGAGUGGAGACUUAAAGCAUGAAAUAGCAGAGAUCCAUCCUCUGUAUGUCUCGCUGUUUGACUACAUGAUUCACUGGAAACAGCGGAGAUCCAACAAGCCCCGAGGUGCUCUGAUCACAAAACACCGUCACCCUUUACAGGAGCCGACACCAUCGCACACAUUAAGCUAUCUUUUGAUGGCAACAGUUGUCAUAGUGAUACUUAUCCUGGCAUUCCAAGGACGUCUUCUGUUUUGUCAGCGAUGGCAACAUCGACGACGCAUCAUCAGCUUGAAGACUCUAAGCUCUACACUAUCUUUGUGGGGCUUUGUCAAGUCCAUUUGAACCAUGCAUUUAAGCAUCAUCCUUCCAUCAACUUUCUGUGUGAUAUUCAAUAGUGUAACACUGGUUUCAUGUUGAAUCACUAUGGCAACCCAGCUGAUAUGCUACAGUCCUCCUGUACAUUGAUUCCUGCAUUUAUUAUUAUUAUCAAAGACAUUGACAAUCUUCAAAGAUGCUUUCAUUCUGGCAGAUUGUGUUAACGCAGUGUAAAUGAUUAUAAUGCAUAAUUCCUCAGCUUCCAUUCCGUCAAAAGCUUAUAUGUGUUCUUCAUCCAUGACGAUGAUCUCUGUGUUUUCAAUAUAUGAUCUGGGUACACUAUAUCACAUGUGAA
RNAcentral lists this unclassified non-coding RNA (1746 nucleotides) under Haliotis rubra (blacklip abalone). Its description in RNAcentral is "carboxypeptidase B-like, transcript variant X2". The record is from RNAcentral. Lineage: Eukaryota; Metazoa; Mollusca; Gastropoda; Lepetellida; Haliotidae.